GGCCAGCAGCCGCGGUAAUACGUAGGGUGCGAGCGUUGUCCGGAAUUACUGGGCGUAAAGGGCUUGUAGGUGGUUUGUCGCGUUGUUCGUGAAAUGCCACAGCUUAACUGUGGGCGUGCGGGCGAUACGGGCAGACUGGAGUACUGCAGGGGAGACUGGAAUUCCUGGUGUAGCGGUGGAAUGCGCAGAUAUCAGGAGGAACACCGGUGGCGAAGGCGGGUCUCUGGGCAGUAACUGACGCUGAGGAGCGAAAGCGUGGGGAGCGAACAGGAUUAGAUACCCUGGUAGUCCACGCCGUAAACGGUGGGUACUAGGUGUGGGUUUCCUUCCUUGGGAUCCGUGCCGUAGCUAACGCAUUAAGUACCCCGCCUGGGGAGUACGGCCGCAAGGCUAAAACUCAAAGGAAUUGACGGGGGCCCGCACAAGC
This 427-nucleotide ribosomal RNA is filed under the name uncultured bacterium. RNAcentral's name for it is "bacterial SSU rRNA". It matches the Rfam family "Bacterial small subunit ribosomal RNA", at positions 506 to 930 of the family's 1533-position model. The record is from RNAcentral.